CCACCUAACCCUACUACCCAUCGCACAAUCCACUCCCUCUUUUCUCUCUUUGACCGGUCACUCUCACUCUUGUUCUCCUUUUCUUUUUCUUUUUCAGUCAACACAACACACAACACACACACUCCUCUCCCUCACCCUCCCACCGGUACAUUCCUCAUCAUCACCUCUACCAUUUUUUCCGGCAAAAUCACUAGAAAAUCCUCAAGAACAUCACACCUUCACAUAAGUUAAUUGAGGUUCUAGCUAAUUUCUUUUGGAGCUUGGAAAAUUAGUUUUUUUUUUGCGGGUUGUGAGAGUAGGCAACGGUCUUUUGAGGCAGCUUUUUGGUGGCUAAUAGUAGUUAGACUAACUACUAAUGGAGGCUGAACUUUGGUAAUGGGUAUAUUAGAUGAUGUACAUCUUAGAAUAGACUUGACUCAUUCUUUUGUAUAUUAUAGUGGCUAUGAUGUUAUUUCCUACUGAUGAGACAAGCUGAUGAUAUGUAAUUAAUUAUUCAGACCUCUAUUCUUUUGUGGCCAAUGGUCUUUGUAAUUAUUUCUUAGAGCUCUGACUUACUCUGAGAAUAUAUUCAAUGGAAUUAUUAUGAUAAUCCUUGAUAUU
This is a long non-coding RNA of Quercus robur (English oak), 600 nucleotides long. RefSeq lists it as uncharacterized. Lineage: Eukaryota; Viridiplantae; Streptophyta; Magnoliopsida; Fagales; Fagaceae. The record is from RefSeq and is a predicted model, not a curated record. The transcript is spliced from 3 exons.